UACAGGGGGGGCAAGCGUUGUUCGGAAUUACUGGGCGUAAAGGGUUCGUAGGUGGCCACCUAAGUCAGACGUGAAAUCCCUCAGCUUAACUGGGGAACUGCGUCUGAUACUGGGUGGCUUGAGUGCAGGAGAGGAAUGCGGAAUUCCAGGUGUAGCGGUGAAAUGCGCAGAGAUCGGGAGGAACACCCGUAGCGAAGGCGGCACUCUGGGCCGGUACUGACGCUGAGGAGCGAAAGCGUGGGGAGCAAACAGG
This 253-nucleotide ribosomal RNA is filed under the name uncultured bacterium. Its description in RNAcentral is "partial 16S ribosomal RNA". It matches the Rfam family "Bacterial small subunit ribosomal RNA", at positions 524 to 776 of the family's 1533-position model. The record is from RNAcentral.